GGGAGAGGAGGGGAAAGGAGGGGGAGGGGAGGGGAAAGGAGGGGGAGGGGAGGGGAAAGGAGAGUGGAGAGGAGAGGGAAGAGGAGAGAGAAGAGAGGGAAAGGAAAGGAGAAGGAAAGAAAUUGCUAAUCAUGGUUGUCUCUAGAGAAUGCAACUAUUUUUACUGUAUAGGAGCAGUUAUUACUUUAGUCAUUAUAAUUCGUUACAAUUUUUUUAAAGAAAAAAGAAAUUUUGAAAAGUAAUGGCUGGUCCAAGUGAAGUGCAGUGAUGUUUAAAACUCAUUGAUCACAGUCAGUUACAGUUUUCUUUGUUUUUUUCUCCACUCACACUGCAUUACAUGACUAGCCUUCAGAAAAAUGUUUUUUAAUUUUUAAACAUUUCCAAAAGUAGAAUUGUCAAAGAGAAUGCAAGCUUUUCACAUAGUUAUAAGUUGAGACUACUCCUUAUCCUCUACUGUAAAAUGACUCUUUUUCAGUUGGCGUACUGAUAAUUUCAUAUAUAUAACUGAAUAUAGAAAAACAACAAAUGUGUGCUACUAAAUCAAUGUCACACUUUUUAUUUUAAUACAUACCUUUUUUUGAGGAUGCACCCAGGAAAAAAUACAAGUCACAGGACACCUGCAACCUGUGCUUUCCCCAAUGGCACUCAUAUAAUCUAAACCAAAUUAAAUAUUUUAAUAGAAAAUUAAUUUGUCAGAAAUAAAAUAUACCUAACUCCUCUUACCUGCCAUGGAUCCAGCCAUUAAUCUGUGCACAUGACCUGAAAUUCCCAGCUUCGUAGUAAUUAACUAGAAAACAAGAACACUGAAUUAAAUGAGAUAUUUUUUAAAUGCUGCCCAUUUCACUGUUUAAUAAUGAAGAUUUAUUUCAAGAGUUACAGGACUAAUAAAAAGGAAAUUAAUAAUAAAUGUGAACGAAAUGAGCACAAUUAAAUACAGCUUGGCAGUGUUAUAUCACAGCAGAAGGGGAUAUUUCCUCUGUAGUCUCUGCUUUAAUUUUUUGCAUUUCUGCAGAAGCAAGCUAGCUUAGUAUUGCUAAGUAUAUGAUACUGUGUAUUAAGGAACACAAGCCCUUAACAAGUGACUGGGGGUAGUAGGAAUAAACUGCUACUUUUUUUUUUUUUUUUUUUUUUUUUUGAGAUGAAGUCUCGCUCUGUGUCCCAGGCUGGAUUGCAGUGGCACGAUCUCGGCUCACUGCAACCUAGAUUCAAGCGAUUCUCCUGCCUCGGCCUCCCAAGUAGCUGGGACUACAGCCGUGUGCCAUUACGCCCGGCUAAUUUUUUAUUUUUUAGUAGAGACGGGGUUUCACCACAUUGGUCAGGCUGGUCUCGAACUCCUGACCUCAGGUGAUCCACCCACCUCGGCCUCUCAAAGUGCUGGGAUUAUAGGCUGAAGCCACCGCACCCAGCCUAAUUUUUUAUUUUAUUUUUUAAAUGCUCUAUAGACAAUGAAGUCCUGAUACACAAAUGGCAUCAAUUCUCUUUGGCUGACUAGCUUAGAAUGUUGUUCCGAUCUCUGCUGCUUGUGUUUUUUUUGUUUUUUUUUUUGAGACAGAGUCUGGCUCUGUCGCCCAGGCUGGAGUGCAGUGGUGCGAUCUCGGCUCACUGCAAGCUCCGCCUCCUGGGUUCACACCAUUCUCCUGCCUCAGCCUCCUGAGUAGCUGGGUUUCACCAUGUUAGCCAGGAUGGUCUCGAUCUCCUGAACUUGUGAUCCGCCCGCCUCGGCAUCCCAAAGUGCUGGGGAUUACAGGCAUGAGCCACCGCACCCGGCCUUGUUUUUUGUUUUUUGUUUUGAUUCGGAGUCUCACUCUGUCACCCAGGCUGGAGUGCAAUGGCACGAUCUUGGCUCACUGCAACCUCCGUAUCCCGGGUUCAAGCGAUUAUCCUGCCUCAGCCUCCUGAGUAGCUGGGAUUAUAGGCAUGCGCCACCACAUCCAGCUAAUUUUGUAUUUUUAGUAGAGAAGGGGUCUCUCCAUGUUGGUCAGGCUGGUCUCAAACUUCCGACCUCAGCUGAUACUCCCACCUCGGCCUCCCAAAGUGCUGUGAUUACAAGCAUGAGCCACUGUGCCCAGCCAGUUUCACUAUUUUGUUUAAUAAGAAAAUCCAAAGUCACAGUGUUCCUCUCCUACAAUUGAGUAACAAAAAGCACACUAAAGGCUGGGGCCCACAGAUAGCUUGGGCCCAGGAGUUCGAGACUAGCAUGGGCAACACAGUGAGACCCCAUCUCUACAAAAUAUUUUUUAAAAAAUCAGCCAGGCCUCUUCUCCACCUCUGAAAAAGAAAGAAAAAACAAAUUAGCCGGGGGUGGUGGCACAUGCCUCUAGUGCCAGUUACUCAGGAGGCUGAAGUGGGAGAAUUGCUUGAGUCCGUGAGGUUGAGGCUGCAGUAAGCCAGGACCACAUCACUGCACUCCAGCCUAGGUGACAGAGAAACUAUCUCAAAAAAGAAAGAAAAGAAAAGAAAAGAGGGAGGGAAGGAGGGAAGGGAAACACAUUAAAAAUAUAUUAAUAUUAUAUGGAUUUAUUAUUAUCUUCUUUAAAGAUAUUCUAGCUCUCAUUCAUUAGGAGUGAACAUAAAGAAUUUACUUGGCCGGGUGCAGUGGCUAUGCCUGUAAUCCCAAGAAUUUGGGAGGCCAAGGUGGGCAGAUCACCUGAAUCAGGAGUUCCAGACCAGCCUGACCAACAUGGUGAAACCCCGCCUCUACUAAAAAUACAAAAUUAGCCAGGAAUGGUGGUGCAUGCCUGUAAGAAUCUGGGAGGCAGAGAUUGCAGUGAGCCAAGAUCAUGUCAUUGCACUCCAGCCUAGGGAACAAAAGUGAAACUCCGUCUGAAAAAAUAAAUAAAUAAAGGCCGGGCACGGUGGCUCAAGCCUGUAAUCCCAGCAUUUUGGGAGACGGAGGCGGGUGGAUCACGCGGUCAGGAGUUCAGGACCAGCCUGGCCAAGAUGGUGAAACCCCAUCUCUACUAAAAAUACAAAAAUUAGCUGGGUGUGGUGGCGGGCGCCUGUAAUUCCAGCUACUCAGGAGGCUGAGGCAAAGAACUGCUUGAACCCAGGAGAUGGAGGUGGCAGUGAGCCAAGAGUGCACCACUGCACUCCAGCCUGGGCAACAGAGUGAGACUCCAUCUCAAAAAAUAAAAUUAAAUAAAUAAAUAAAUAAAUAACUCAUAAAUGACUAACAAUUCUGGAAUCGGUAAUUCCAAAGACAAGUUAUAUUUAAAAUCUUAAGCUGUCACAAGUCUUAUUCCUUUAAAAAGGCAUUGCUAUAUCAAAAGUAACUUUUUGGCCUGGUACCAUGGCUCAUGCCUGCAAUCCCAACACUUUGGGAGGCCAGGAGUUUGAGACAAGCCUGGCCAAAAUGGCAAAACGCUGUCUCUACUAAACAUACAAAAAUUAGCCAGGCAUGGUGGCAUAGGCCUGUAAUCCCAGCUACUCAGGAGGCUGAGGCAGGAGAAUCGCUUGAACCCAGGAGGCGAGGUUGCAGUGAGCCUUUCAAAAUCGUGCCACUGUACCCCAGCCUGGGCAGCGAGACUCUGUCUCAAAAAUUAAAAAAAAAAAACCAAUAAUUUAACUUUUUAAAAAUAUGAAACUUUUACAUAUUUUUAAAUGUCCAAAGCAAAUGCCUGGUCAAGCAUGCAUGAUAUUCAAGAACGCAAAAGAGAAAAGAUCAAAGUUUAACUACCGUUUUAUAAUGCUCAAAUGCCAUAAACUGG
This 3707-nucleotide long non-coding RNA is filed under the name Homo sapiens (human). RNAcentral's name for it is "HSALNT0163859". The stretch from base 244 to 351 matches the Rfam family "Y RNA". Lineage: Eukaryota; Metazoa; Chordata; Mammalia; Primates; Hominidae. The record is from RNAcentral.